This 254-nucleotide ribosomal RNA is filed under the name uncultured bacterium. RNAcentral's name for it is "partial 16S ribosomal RNA". It matches the Rfam family "Bacterial small subunit ribosomal RNA", at positions 524 to 777 of the family's 1533-position model. The record is from RNAcentral.
UACAGAGGGUGCAAGCGUUAAUCGGAAUUACUGGGCGUAAAGCGUGCGUAGACGGUUACAUAAGUCGGGUGUGAAAGCCCCGGGCUCAACCUGGGAAUUGCAUUCGAGACUGCGUAGCUAGGGUGCGGAAGAGGGAAGCGGAAUUUCCGGUGUAGCGGUGAAAUGCGUAGAUAUCGUAAGGAAGACCAGUGGCGAAGGCGGGUCUCUGGACAGUUCCUGACGCUGAGGCACGAAGGUCAGGGGAGCAAACGGGG